Molecule: long non-coding RNA, 1343 nt
Filed under: Sus scrofa (pig)
Lineage: Eukaryota; Metazoa; Chordata; Mammalia; Artiodactyla; Suidae
Description: lncRNA (ENSSSCG00025055757.1)
Source: RNAcentral
AGCCGACGCAGGCAGCCGCCGGGUGAAGUACGCAGGUACCGCAGGUACCCGGCGCCCGCCCGAUUUCAGGGCAAGUUACUGUUUUCAGAAUCCAAGGGGAAUCUAACACCUAAACAAUGCCAAGAGAAAAGGAAGGAAAACGAAAAACUAAAGGAGCACUCCUGCCCAUCAUUCCAACUCUUAAAAAGUUCCUGAAAACGUAUGAGAAGUAUUGUGCACAGACUCAGACGUCUGUGUGUCCAGCCAUCAAAAGGGACUUGAAAACCAGCAUCAAUAAUGAACAGAUUCUCAGGAAGUUUGUACUUGUAAGACCUGAUGACUCCCCGCCAGGCAUCCUACCAAUUUCCUUGGAACCUUUGCUCAUGACAGUUCAGGAUGAGUGUUUCACUCUGGGGAGAGAGAUCUGCAUUUGGGGCCUUCAACUGAGCAACCCAGAGAUGGCCAGACUCGCUUUGCUUUUGGAAUCAAAGGGGUGCACCACCUGCCCAUUUACCACCCUGGAACUCAUUGAUUGCAAGAUGGAUCUGUGGUCCCUGGGGAGACUUGGGAAGGCUCUUCAGUCCAGCAGUUUGCAAACUCUUGUUCUUGAUUACUGCAAAUUUGGAAAUGAAGAAAUUGAGAGGAUUUUCUCAGGCCUGGAGAACAACCAAAGGCUUCAAGUCCUCAGCUUACGUUACUGUGGUCUGGGGCCACAGAUUGGGCCAAGGCUGGGCUCUAUCAUAUGCCAGAGUGCCAUUUGUGAGCUGCACCUUGAUGGCAAUUACUUGCAGUGUUCUGGAGCUCUGGAUCUCCUCAGACCCGUAGCAGAGUAUGCAGAGAUGCAGGGGAAAGACCAGCCAGCCACUUGCUCACCAGACCCUAGGCAUCCCCCUCAGCUGCUCCAAGCUAAGCAGAGAGGAAGUUCAACUUUGAACCAGAUUACAAAGUCAUCUGGAGCUCUAACAGUGAAAACUACUUCAGGAAAGAAGAGAAAAAAAGGAAUCAAGAAAAAACUUAAAAAUUUGGAAGUUGGACCUUGGUUAGUGAAGUUGUAUUUGGCAGAUAAUGGCAUAGAUGGAAAAGGAAAAGAAGGAGAAAAUAACUUGCUGGAAUUCACUCAAAUUUUAACAUGCCUGAUCAAAUACUCUGCCCAUUUAAGGGAGAUUGACCUUGGAAACAAUGUCCUGGGAGAAAUGGCUGCUGCUGACAUUCUUGAAGCACUGAGAGCCAGAAAGACAGGUAAACUUCCAGUUUUAAAAGUUACAGUAACCCCCCAGAUCUCUUCAGAUACCUUCAUGUCUAUUUGGGAAAAUAGCAAGAAAUCAAGUACUACCCAUAAAAAGAGGAAAAAGGCUAGAAACUGA